Molecule: transfer RNA, 71 nt
Filed under: Loxodonta africana (African savanna elephant)
Lineage: Eukaryota; Metazoa; Chordata; Mammalia; Proboscidea; Elephantidae
Rfam family: tRNA
About the family: Transfer RNA (tRNA) molecules are approximately 80 nucleotides in length. Their secondary structure includes four short double-helical elements and three loops (D, anti-codon, and T loops).
Source: Rfam by way of RNAcentral
GCAUUGGUGGUUCAUUGGUAGAAUUUUUGCCUUCCAGGAGGGAGACCAGGGUUUGAUUCUCAGCCAGUGCA